Molecule: ribosomal RNA, 828 nt
Filed under: Triticum aestivum (bread wheat)
Lineage: Eukaryota; Viridiplantae; Streptophyta; Magnoliopsida; Poales; Poaceae
Description: partial small subunit ribosomal RNA
Source: RNAcentral
AAUCUUCGCGCUGCACUCACCAAUGCUCAGAAGGGCUCCAUGUCUGCCUCUGCCUACUUUGGCCAGAUGCGCUCUCUCUCCGACGAGCUCACCGCCGCGGGCAAACCCCUUGGCGACGGGGAACUCAUCUCUUUCAUUGUCGCCGGACUUGACAUGGACUAUCAACCCAUUAUAUCCGCUCUCGACGUCCGCACCGAGCCCAUCACCGUCGACGGCCUCUUCUCCCUCGUGUCCAACUUCGAUCAGCGCAUGGAGAUGUUUCACGGUGCUGGCAAUGGCGGCUUCAAGUCCUCCGCCAACAUCGCCUCGCGGGGCCGUUCUGGUGGUGGAAACGGCGGCUACCGCAAAGGAGGGGGUGGUGGCUCUCGCGGCGGUGGCGGCGGCUAUAACGCUGCUGCUGGUGGCUCCAGCGACGGCGCUCCUGGUGGCUACUACAUGGCGGGCGGUGGCGGCGGCCACCCAAACCCUAACUCUGGUGGCGGCUAUGGCGCCCACCAGAACGGCGGGGGUCAUCAGGGGGGUUCUGGUGGAAGCAGCGGCUACUUUCACCAGAACCAGAACCCUUCUGGUGGUGGCGGCUACAAUCGGCGCAACAACAACAACAAUCGACGUCCCUUUCAAGGGUAUGAAGGGUAUGAAAAAAAGUGUCAAAUUUGCAAAAAAAAACAAACCAUAUUGCAAAAGACUGUGAUUGGCGCUACGCCGAUGAUAAAAACUCCCCAAAAAAGAAAGUUGCAGCUGCAGCCGACGUGUCUUAUGGCGUUGAUACCAACUGGUAUAUGGACACGGGUGCCACCAACCACAUCACAGGCGAGUUGGACAGACUGA